Molecule: long non-coding RNA, 3916 nt
Filed under: Mytilus galloprovincialis (Mediterranean mussel)
Lineage: Eukaryota; Metazoa; Mollusca; Bivalvia; Mytilida; Mytilidae
Source: RNAcentral
CAUAGAGACGGUAAUUCUAAAGAAAGGAUUUUCAUUUGUAAGUGCCAAAUGACGAAAUUAAAAGGUAAACCGAACUGUCACCACACGAUCCGAUGCCAUCAACACGAGGAACACAUCCAGCUUCUUUCGACAUGUGUGGAUGUGUAAAGAUGAUUGAACAAUUUAAUUAAUGAAUCUUCGCCAUAAAACUUAUACAAUGCACGAAUGACAGGGACAGCUUCCAAUUUGUCAGUGGCUUAUUGACCGGUGAUCCAUUUAAUAGCAGAACAAAAUCUUCACACCAGGAGCCCCAUUUAGAAUUCCACACGGCACAAGAUGCACAAGGAAAACACGAUUCAAAAGGAGAACCACUGGCACUGAUCCAAAGAAUUCCCUUACUGGUUCCAGCGGUUUGCAGAUUUCGUCAAACAUCAAUCUUGGUAUGUUUAAUUUAUAAAAAAGUUGAUGUUUUGUGGCGUAUAAUUAUGCUAAUUUAUAUUUAUCUCAUAAUGAAUAAGAUUGAUAUGAUAGUGAUAAAGAUAAGAUUUACUGAAAGGACUAUUUUUUAUUAUUAUUUGAUGUGAUAUAUUUAAUUUGAAUUUCACAUGAGCAAUAUGAUCGCACUGUGGCCUUUUUACCUGUCCCUACUUUAAUGUACAAUAUCUUAUAUAACCAUGCAGUCAUUUGCAAGACGCACCUAGCGCUAUUACACACAAGAUACACACGAGGGCAUUAAGUGCAAGUUCGUCAACCUUUAUCUCAAUUAAUAACAUGAUACCACUAAAUAUAUACACAACUAUACACUAUGUGUUAGUUGACUCAUCUGACGUAAAUGAAAUACACUAUAUGAGAAUUCGAAGACAAAGGACAAAUUUUGUGGCGGAUGAUGCUAUAUAUAUAGCUUUAGAAUAAAUCCAAGCUGUCGAUGGCUUCGAUUAUUUACACGUGCAAAUUCUUUGAACAGUCUUUAAUAUUUCCUAAUACUGUUCGAUACACUUUAAUCGGCAUUACUAUAAAGAAAAAUAUACAUGUAUAAUUUAUGCCUACAGUUUUCUCGUUUGAUUGUUUAAAAAUGUUUUAUAACAUUUUUCUUUUUGGGUUUUUAAUUACUCACUAAUGCGGUAUGGGCUUUGCUCAUUGUUGAAGGCAGUACAAUGCCUUAUUGUUAUUAAUGCAGUAUUGGCCCUGCUCAUCAUUGAAGGCAGUAAAGUGACUUAUUGUUAUUAAUGCGGCAUGGGCUCUGCUAGUUGUUGAAGGCAAUAAAAAGAAUUAUUGUUGUUAAUGCGGUAUGGGCCCUGCUCAUGGUUGAAGGCAGUAAAAUGACUUAUUGUUAUUAAUGCAGUAUUGGUCCUGCUCAUUAUUGAAGACAGUAAAGUGACUUAUUGUUCCUAAUGCGGCAUGGGCUCUGCUCAUUGUUGAAGCCAGUAAAAAGACUUAUUGUUGUUAAUGCGGUAUGGGCCCUGCUCAUUGUUUAAUGCAGUACAAUGACUUAUUGUUAAUGAUUUCUUUGCCUUUUCGUCUACUGUGAAGAGUUGUCUCAUUGAUUCAUACCAAUUCAUUUUUACAUGAGUGAGUUACUCAGUUACAUGUAUAUAUAUAUAUAUAUAUAUAAGUACGUCUGAGUCAGUGACAACCCUACAACAGAUGUAUCCAUCGGAUCGCCAUCAGAGAUGGUGAUACAUGGCUGUGCACAUAAUGUAUAUACAACUCGUCUAAACAUCAACCCAACAAUGUUAGAUCUGUAAAUUUGCUUUCGCAAAUUUUUGGUUCUUCCCUCGCCGGGAUUCGAACCCAUGCUAAGGCAUGAAGAUGUUAUUGUUACAGAUCAGCUAAAUUUAGCUGAUCUGUAACAAUAAUAUCUUCAUGCCUUUUAUAUCAUGUACUGUAGUACGCCGCUAGAUUAAAACUGACGUGGAAAGGUAACACAUGGCAGCGAAAGCUCUUUUUUUUGAGAGCCCAGGUGGUCGUGUGGUCUAGCGGGACGGCUGCAGUGCAGGCGAUUUGGUGUCACGAUAUCACAGUAGCAUGGGUUCAAUCCCGGCGAGGGAAGAACCAAAAAUGUGCGAAAGCAAAUUUACAGAUCUAACAUUGUUGGGUUGAUGUUUAGACGAGUUGUAUAUAUAUAUAUAUACAUUCAAUUUGCGUUUCUAUUCUUGUUAGCUUGCUUGCUUUAAUUUAUGCAUGUUUCACUUUGCCCAGCUUUUACAUUAUGCAUGUGUAAUAUGCUUAUAAUUUGAUAUCUGAUUUUUGUCAGCUCGCCCUACCGAGCUCGUUGAUAUUAUUGCUGAUAAAGUCAGUAUCAAAAACAAACAAAAAGGGAUAUUAUUCUAUAUAUUUGAUAUGACUGCAAUUAUCUCCCUCAACACAAUUUGUAAAAUGAAUUAUAUACACAUUUUAACUUGCAUGUUACAUAUUACUUUUAACAUGCGUUAAUAUCUGACAAAAAACCUGUAGAUUUUCCACCCUUGAAUCACGAGAUGUACUGAAAAAACGUCAGACACGCGAAAUUGUUUCUUUUAAAAUUGUAACACGAUGAUGACUGCUGUACCCAUGUUUUGACCAUUUAUUUAUUAUGUCUGUUUAGUUCACGCAUCAUUGUAAAUAUAACGGAAUUUGAUCAGUCUGAGAGGUUUAACGCUAUAAAACCAGGUUUAAUCCACCAAUUUCUACAUUUGAAAAUGCCUGUACCAAGUCAGGAAUAUGACAGUUGGUGUCCAUUCGUAUUUGAUGAGUUUUUUCAUUUGAUUUUGCCAUGUGAUUAGGGACUUUCUGUUUUGACUUUCCUCUGAGUUUUUUUUACAGAUAUUUGAGGUAAGUUGAGGUAAGUAAGAGAGGAAUUUUCUGCGAUGUAGACAAUAUAUAAAUAAGUGAUUUUGUUCAAGGACGAAAUAUUCAUAUAAGAAGAGUUUUGAAAUAGAAUGGUGCUAUUAGCAAUAAGUUUUGUUCUGUUUUGUCAAAAUAAGUUCAACUAUCCCUGAUGUAUUUAUUGAUAUACAAAUCAAUGAUUCAACCUCAUUUAAUUCUUUUUUUAUUCGUAGUUUUUACGUCACGCAGGCUAAUAUUUACAAACUCGUUAUUUAGGAAGUGUUGAUACACAUACAUGUAUAUUUGAAAUAUACAUACUAUAUAUGUUAUGUGGACCUAAGACACCGUGCCCCCUAAAAAAUAUCCCAUUUUUAUUUUCAAUACACAACUUUAUCUGAAUCAAACUUUUAAUUGGUACAUGUAUUUAAUUUUCAAAGUUUUAUAUUUUGAACGGGACGUCCGCACAUAAAAGAAAAUGCAUUGGCAUGACACGGGUUAUGUUCUUCUCAUACAUUUAAUGAUGGUAUAAUACUUAACCCCUAACGGGAGGGAUUGUGUCUGAUAUUCAUAUGAUGAAGACAUAAUCUUUCAAUCAGUUUAAUUGAGGUCUGUCAGUAACUGCUAGUAGUCUGUUUAAUGUCAUUUUGUUUAUACUCUUUUGUUACCUCUUCUGACAUCGGACUCGGACUUCUCUUCAACUGAAUUUUACUGUGCGUAUUGUUAUGCGUGUACUUUUCUACAUUGGCUAGAUGUAUAGGGGAGGGUUGAAAUCUCAAAAAAACAUGUUUAACCCCGCCGCAUUUUUGCGCCUGUCCGAAGUCAAGAGCCUCUGGCCUUUGUUAGUCUUGUAGGAUUUUGUAUUUUAGUUUCUUGUGUAUAAUUUGGAGUUUAGUAUGACGUCCAUUAUCACUGAACUAGUAUAUAUAUUUGUUUAGGGGCCAGAUGCAGGACGACUCCGGGUGCAGGAGUCUCUCGCUGCAUUGAAGACCUAUUGGUGACCUGCUGUUGUCAGUUCUAUGGUCGGGUAGGUGAUUCAUUGACACAUUCCCCAAUUCCAUUCUCAAUUGUAUUACCUCUUUUCUAUCACAAAUUGAUCAUCAAUCAAACUUUACAAUAAAUAUCUUACAUUUCA